This 468-nucleotide ribosomal RNA is filed under the name uncultured bacterium. RNAcentral's name for it is "partial 16S ribosomal RNA". It matches the Rfam family "Bacterial small subunit ribosomal RNA", at positions 28 to 507 of the family's 1533-position model. The record is from RNAcentral.
GACGAACGCUGGCGGCGUGCUUAACACAUGCAAGUCGAACGGAAAGGCCCUGCUUUUGUGGGGUGCUCGAGUGGCGAACGGGUGAGUAACACGUGAGUAACCUGCCCUUGACUUUGGGAUAACUUCAGGAAACUGGGGCUAAUACCGGAUAGGAGCUCCUGCUGCAUGGUGGGGGUUGGAAAGUUUCGGCGGUUGGGGCUGGACUCGCGGCUUAUCAGCUUGUUGGUGGGGUAGUGGCUUACCAAGGCUUUGACGGGUAGCCGGCCUGGGAGGGUGACCGGCCACAUUGGUACUGAGGUACGGCCCAGACUCCAUCGGGAGGCAGCAGUGGGGAAUAUUGCGCAAUGGGCGGAGGCCUGAUGCAGCAACGCCGCGUGCGGGAUGAAGGCCUUCGGGUUGUAAACCGCUUUCGCCUGUGACGAAGCGUGAGUGACGGUAAUAGGUAAAGAAGCACCGGCUAACUACGUG